AGAGUUUGAUCCUGGCUCAGAUUGAACGCUGGCGGCGUGCCUAACACAUGCAAGUCGAACGUGAAAGGGAGCAAUCCCAAGUAAAGUGGCGUACGGGUGAGUAAUGCGUAGGUAAUCUACCCCAAAGUUUGGAAUAACCUGCCGAAAGGCGGGCUAAUACUGGAUAGAGCGACGGAAUCCGUAAUUGGGUUUUUCGGGAA
RNAcentral lists this ribosomal RNA (200 nucleotides) under uncultured bacterium. RNAcentral's name for it is "partial 16S ribosomal RNA". It matches the Rfam family "Bacterial small subunit ribosomal RNA", at positions 8 to 226 of the family's 1533-position model. The record is from RNAcentral.